RNA transcript from Homo sapiens (human), 3318 nucleotides. It is a transcript of the gene named ATPase H+ transporting accessory protein 1 like (pseudogene), with no coding region annotated. Lineage: Eukaryota; Metazoa; Chordata; Mammalia; Primates; Hominidae. The record is from RefSeq and is marked validated. The transcript has 10 exons.
GCUCUUGCCCAAGCCACUGAGAGCGGGACGCGGGGCUAGGUCAGAGUAGGAAGGAGUCGCUGAGCUGAAUCUUUGUGGAGUGGAGUGGGGCGAGAGUCCUCCGAGUAGUCUGGAAAAUUAGACUUCUGAGCCUUAAUUCAUACUUAUAAGCAGCUAGUAAAUUGUAAAAUAUAGUGAAGCAAUGUAGUGUAGUAACUAAAACCCCAAGCUUUGGAGCCAGAUUGGGCCUUUAACCCUAAAGUUGCCGUUUAUUUUGACUGGCGAGUCAUUUACUUAUAGAUUUAUUUAUUUUUAUUUUUAUUUUUUUCUGAGACAGGGUCUCACUCUGUCUUCUAGGCUGUUGUGCAGUGGUGCGAUCUUGGCUCACUACAACCUCCGCCUCCCGGGUUCAAGCGAUUGUCCCACCUCAGCCUCCUGAGUAGCUGGGAUUACAGGCUUCCACCAUCACGCCUGGCUGAUGUUUGUAUUUUCAGUAGAGAGGGGGUUUCACCAUGUUGGCCAGGCUGGUGUCGAUCUCCUGACCUCGAGUGAUCCGCCCGCCUCGGCCUCCCAAUGUGCUGGGAUUACAGGCGUGAGCCACCGCGCCUGGCCAUUUAAUUAACUCUUUAAUACUGUUUCUCCUGUAAGAUGAACUAGCUGUGAGAGGUUUCUGGGAUAUUGGUUCACUCAGCAAGGAUGUUUAAAAAUGCCUUCUAUGUGCCAGACGCUGUUGUAGGUACCGGGAAUAUGGCGGUUAAAUUAAGAGGGUGAAGGUUUCUGCUCUGAUACAGUUUAUAUUCUAAAUGUGAGAGGACAGACCAGUUAGAUAGAUGUAAAUUAAAUAAUUAAAUAGAUGAUUUUUACAUACUGUAGAGCUAUAGAGAAAAUAUAGCUGGAUGGGUGAUAGUGACUUGGGGAUGGGGGUGGCUACUCUGGAUAGGGUAGUUUAAGGUGACAUCUCUGUGCAGAUGUAGAAUGGGCUAGUGCUUUCUAAGAACUGAAAGAUCAGUGAAGAAGGGGAGCAUAGUGACUGAGGAGUAGUGUGGCAUUAGAUGGGGUCUGAGAGUUACACAGGAACAUGUGGAGCCUGUAGGCCAUGGUAAAGCCUUUUUCUACUCUUCUGGUGAUUUAAAGCCAUUGUAAAGUUUUGAGCUUGGGAGUAGGUAGCAAAAUAAGAUUUAUAUUUUUAUGGGGUUACUCUGGCUGUUGAGAGGAGAAAAAGACAUGAAUCUGGGAGGCCACUUGGGAAGCAAGGCCAUCAGUGAAGAGAAAGAGUGGGAGAAAAAGGUUUGAGGAGAGAAGGUAUAGGACUUUCACUAACCUUGGACCAUAUAUUUGCCAGGAAGAAUGUAAGUUCUCCAACAUCUUCAAAUAAAGAAGUGGUUAUGAGGAAUGAUCAGAAUAAUGGAGAUAUGAAACCAUUCCAGAAUUUCACAACAAUACCAAUCACACAGGCUCUCAACUACAAUCUGAGCAAAGAAGGGCAUUUAGAAAAAGAACCUUGGAAUGCAUUCAGCCAUCAUGGCCCAGUUAAUGUCUCCAUCAAUGGAAUUCCUUGCAUUCUCUUCUGGGCCAAAAGAAUAAUGAUUAAAUUUAAGAAUCAAACCUGGCUGGACCUUACAGACGAGCCAUUUGGUCAGAAGGUAACUGUGGACCCUGACAACUCAAAUUGCAGUGAAGAAAGUGCUAGAAAAAAAAAGUAGGCUCCUUUGUAUAGGACCCUGACACACAUCUUUGAGGAAGUAUUUACUGUCUAAAAUAAAGGAACAAGUCAGAAGUUAACUUCAAAAAUUGUUGGCUGGGCAUGGUGGCUCACGCCUGUAAUCCCAGCACUUCGGGAGGCCAAGGGAGUGGAUCACCUGAGGUCAGGAGUUGGAGACAAGCCUGGCCAACAUGGUGAAACCUCGUCUCUACUAAAAUACAAAAAUUAGCCGGGCGUGGUGGCAGGUGCCUGUAAUCCCAGCUACUCAGGAGGCUGAGACAGGAGAAUUGCUUGAACCUGGGAGGUGGAGGUUGUGGUGAGCUGAGAUCGCGCCAUUGCUCUCCAGCUUGGGUGACAGAGUGAGUGAGACUCCAUCUCAAAAAAAAAAAAUUGUUAUAUUUUCCCGGCAGUUUUCUUCUGAACCUUUUUGCUAAUUGUCGGAAUAACUUGUAGAAAAUGAGACUUUGGAAAGCAAGGGUUCUCAAACUCGUUUUGAAAACAGCAAAGGAUUCCAGGCUUGGUCUCAACUCCAAAUGGUUGUCUUUGAAGCUUGGUGAUGCUGGAAACCCCAGAAGUCUUGCUAUAAGAUUCAUCCUUACCAAUUACAACAAGUUGUCCAUCCAGAGUUGGUUUAGUUUGCGCCGAGUCGAGAUCAUUUCCAACAAUUCAAUCCAAGCAGUCUUUAACCCAACUGGCGUAUAUGCUCCCUCUGGUUACUCCUACCGCUGCCAACGCGUGGGCAGCCUGCAGCAGGACCAGGCCCUCUUGCUGCCCAGCGACACGGAUGAUGGGUCGAGCCUGUGGGAGGUCACUUUUAUUGAUUUCCAGAUCCAAGGUUUUGCCAUCAAGGGGGGACGAUUUACCAAAGCCCAAGACUGCGCCUCCUCCUUCUCGCCAGCUUUUCUGAUCGGCCUGGCAAUGUCCCUGAUCCUGCUGCUGGUGUUGGCCUAUGCCCUGCACAUGCUCAUCUACCUGCGGUAUCUGGACCAACAAUAUGAUCUCAUCGCCUCUCCUGCCCACUUCUCGCAGCUGAAAGCUCGAGACACAGCCGAAGAGAAGGAGCUGCUGAGGAGCCAGGGGGCUGAAUGCUAUAAACUGAGAAGCCAACAGAUCAGCAAAAUCUAUGUUUAGCAGCACAGGCUGGCCCCCACCAUGUCCACAGUGGGCUCCGAAAGUUGUCUCUGUUCUGUGCUAUUUGACUUGUGAAUUACAGAUUUUCACCAAAUGGCUUGAUUACAAAAAAAAAGAAAAAACACAAAAAGGAAAUAGAUAAUGAAUUCUUUUUGAACCAUCCACUGGCCUACUUAGGUAGACUUGGGGCAAUCAAAAAAGGCAUCUCAGGGAUCCCACAGAGACAAAUAUGACUGUUAGUUGCCUCAAAGUACCCUGAAAGCAAAGGGGUAUUUCAAGUACGGAAAAAGAGAGAGAGAGAAGAAGAAGGAGGAGGAGGAGGAGGAGGAGAAGGAGAAGGAGGAGCAGGAGGAAGAGGAGGAGGAGGAGGAAAGGGAGGGAGGGAGGGAGAGGGAGAGAGAGAGAAAGAUUGGCAACACAGAGAAGGGAAAACACACUUGGUCCUCCUUGCCUGUGCCAGUUUGGAUGUGACAAUUAUAGAAAUAAUAAACCAAGAUUAUCUGGAA